This 24-nucleotide non-coding RNA is filed under the name Rattus norvegicus (Norway rat). Lineage: Eukaryota; Metazoa; Chordata; Mammalia; Rodentia; Muridae. The record is from RNAcentral.
UGCAUUUGUAUGUGGCUGGGCUGC